Molecule: ribosomal RNA, 490 nt
Filed under: uncultured bacterium
Lineage: Bacteria
Description: partial 16S ribosomal RNA
Rfam family: Bacterial small subunit ribosomal RNA
Source: RNAcentral
AUUGAACGCUGGCGGCAGGCCUAACACAUGCAAGUCGAACGGUAACAGGAAGAAUUUUGCUUCUUCGCUGAUGAGUGGCGGACGGGUGAGUCAUGUCUGGGAUACUGCCUGAUGUAGGGGGAUAACUACUGGAAACGGUAGCUAAUACCUCAUAACGUCUCAUGACCAAAGAGGGGGACCUUCUUGCCUCUUGUCAUCGUAUGCGCCCAGGUGGGAUUAGCUAGUAGGGGGGGUUACGUUUCACCUAGGCGACGAUGUCUAGCUGGUCUGAGAGAAUGACCAGCGACACUGGAACUGAAACACGGACCAGGGGCCUACGGGAGGCAGCAGUGGGGAAUAUUGCGCAGUAGGCGCAAACCUGGUACAGCCGUGCCGCGUGUAUGGAAGAGACCUUCGGGUUGUAAAGUACUUUCAGCGGGGAGGAAGGGAGUAAAGUUAAUACCUUGGCUCAUUGACGUUACCCGCUGAAGAAGCACCGGCUAACUCCGUG